RNAcentral lists this long non-coding RNA (212 nucleotides) under Mytilus galloprovincialis (Mediterranean mussel). Lineage: Eukaryota; Metazoa; Mollusca; Bivalvia; Mytilida; Mytilidae. The record is from RNAcentral.
ACGAAAAUGUCCUUCAAACUUCAAAACGUAAACAAUUUGAAAGGUUUUCUACAAAAGAGAGGCGUAACCUGUUACUUUUAUAGAAAAGAUCAUCUGGUUAAACUUUGUGAUCUUGCAUUGGAACUUCAAUUGCCUAUAUUGAACGAGGAGAACGACGUGGAACCUGACAUCACUAUUUCAAGUUUGACAAGGCGUACACUGGUUAUCGGGGG